AGAGUUUGAUCCUGGCUCAGGACGAACGCUGGCGGCGUGCUUAACACAUGCAAGUCGAACGGUGAUCCACUUCGGUGGUGAUCAGUGGCGAACGGGUGAGUAACACGUGGGUAACCUGCCUCUUGCUCUGGGAUAACUCCGGGAAACCGGGGCUAAUACCGGAUAUUCAUUUCUGACCGCAUGGUUGGUUGUGGAAAGUUUUUCGGCGAGAGAUGGGCCCGCGGCCUAUCAGCUUGUUGGUGGGGUGAUGGCCUACCAAGGCGACGACGGGUAGCCGGCCUGAGAGGGCGACCGGCCACACUGGGACUGAGACACGGCCCAGACUCCUACGGGAGGCAGCAGUGGGGAAUAUUGCACAAUGGGCGAAAGCCUGAUGCAGCGACGCCGCGUGAGGGAUGACGGCCUUCGGGUUGUAAACCUCUUUCAGCUCCGAAGAAGCGAAAGUGACGGUAGGAGCAGAAGAAGCACCGGCUAACUACGUGCCAGCAGCCGCGGUAAUACGUAGGGUGCAAGCGUUGUCCGGAAUUAUUGGGCGUAAAGAGCUCGUAGGCGGUGUGUCGCGUCUGCUGUGAAAACUCAGGGCUCAACUCCGAGCUUGCAGUGGGUACGGGCACACUUGAGUGCUGUAGGGGAGACUGGAAUUCCUGGUGUAGCGGUGAAAUGCGCAGAUAUCAGGAGGAACACCGGUGGCGAAGGCGGGUCUCUGGGCAGUUACUGACGCUGAGGAGCGAAAGCAUGGGGAGCGAACAGGAUUAGAUACCCCAGUAGUCC
Molecule: ribosomal RNA, 771 nt
Filed under: uncultured bacterium
Lineage: Bacteria
Description: bacterial SSU rRNA
Rfam family: Bacterial small subunit ribosomal RNA
Source: RNAcentral